UCGUCUUUAGCACAAUGGCAGUGCAGCCUCUCUCACGAGAUGGUUGAUAUUGGUUCGAAUCCAAUAAGACGACUA
This is a non-coding RNA of Vanrija pseudolonga, 75 nucleotides long. The record is from the annotation of a RefSeq genome assembly. NCBI's taxonomy places the organism in Eukaryota, Fungi, Basidiomycota, Tremellomycetes, Trichosporonales, Trichosporonaceae.